RNAcentral lists this ribosomal RNA (484 nucleotides) under uncultured bacterium. RNAcentral's name for it is "partial 16S ribosomal RNA". It matches the Rfam family "Bacterial small subunit ribosomal RNA", at positions 30 to 507 of the family's 1533-position model. The record is from RNAcentral.
AUUGAACGCUGGCGGCAGGCCUAACACAUGCAAGUCGAGCGGAUGAAGGGAGCUUGCUCCUGGAUUCAGCGGCGGACGGGUGAGUAAUGCCUAGGAAUCUGCCUGGUAGUGGGGGAUAACGUCCGGAAACGGGCGCUAAUACCGCAUACGUCCUGAGGGAGAAAGUGGGGGAUCUUCGGACUUCACGCUAUCAGAUGAGCCUAGGUCGGAUUAGCUAGUUGGUGGGGUAAAGGCCUACCAAGGCGACGAUCCGUAACUGGUCUGAGAGGAUGAUCAGUCACACUGGAACUGAGACACGGUCCAGACUCCUACGGGAGGCAGCAGUGGGGAAUAUUGGACAAUGGGCGAAAGCCUGAUCCAGCCAUGCCGCGUGUGUGAAGAAGGUCUUCGGAUUGUAAAGCACUUUAUGUUGGGAGGAAGGGCAGUAAGUUAAUACCUUGCUGUUUUGACGUUACCAACAGAAUAAGCACCGGCUAACUUCGUG